RNAcentral lists this long non-coding RNA (1038 nucleotides) under Nicotiana tabacum (common tobacco). RNAcentral's name for it is "long non-coding RNA (NTAB_LNC014194)". The record is from RNAcentral. Lineage: Eukaryota; Viridiplantae; Streptophyta; Magnoliopsida; Solanales; Solanaceae.
AAGAACAAUCCUUCCUCAUUUAAAGACACUGACAUAAUUAUCAAGCUAUGAAUGACCUCAUCGGGUAUUUCAUGGAAAUAAACCUUGCCGCUUUUACUGAACUACAUGCUUUUACUGAAGUAAUAAGAUUAACGGGAACCUAUAGAAAGUUCAAACAUGAAUAUUGAACGUUUAAGUUUGCUAAAUGUGACAAUAAAAACAUAUAAUUGAUGGUUCUAAUGGAGCAAAAGAGAAAGAUAUUCUAUUACAUUGAAUAAUGGGGAUAACAAUUUCUGUCUUUAAUUAGCAUUGCUCGGCCAGGCGAUUCCAGUCACACCACACGCUCAAGCAAGCACUUAGUCUGAGCAAUAAAAUUAAACCACUGGCUCUCUUGUCUUAAUUAAGAACUAAAUAUACUUUUUUAAAAAAAGAAAAUAAAAAGGGAAAUAACCUCUUUUCUUGGAUUUUCCUUUAUAAACAACUUGUUGGUUGAAUUACACCAGAAGUUAUUUCUGCAGCAUUAGCACAAGAAGCUUGAGCAGCUGGUUGAUUCUGAUAAGUGAAAUCUACAUCUGACAAGCCUUCAACCAUAACCUACACACAACAACUAAAUUAUCAAUCAUAUCCAGUAAAAGAUUAAAAAGGUAUAUCAAUACAAUUAUUGUUCAAUCAAAACCUAUAAUAGUAACAACAAACAACAGAUAAUCCCGACAUAAUGUUCCAUUAAGCAGAUGAUAAAGAAAAUAUUUGGGGCAUAUUUAUAUAAUGGGAAAAGUAAAAGAAGUCUUUCUAGCAAUGUAAAAUAACAUGAACAGUAAAAAUAAUUGAGAGUGCAACAUAGCUUUAAGAGAUUUCAUACCUUUGCUAUCGCAGGAGUAUUUAGCCCGCUUCUGAUUUUGUAUGCAUAUUCUGUUUAUUCUUGCAAGUUUCUUCCCGUUAUUUUCCAUUUCUAUGGGUUCUUGCAGCUUGAUUUCAUAUGAUGAAUUGGAAAGUAUGUUGGAAGAGAGAGAGAAAGAGGGGGUGCUAGUCAGCUUUAAUUUUUUUUUUUUUGUAUUCCUU